RNAcentral lists this ribosomal RNA (317 nucleotides) under Candida viswanathii. Its description in RNAcentral is "SSU rRNA". It matches the Rfam family "Eukaryotic small subunit ribosomal RNA", at positions 525 to 862 of the family's 1831-position model. Lineage: Eukaryota; Fungi; Ascomycota; Pichiomycetes; Serinales; Debaryomycetaceae. The record is from RNAcentral.
GUAAAUACCUUAACGAGGAACAAUUGGAGGGCAAGUCUGGUGCCAGCAGCCGCGGUAAUUCCAGCUCCAAAAGCGUAUAUUAAAGUUGUUGCAGUUAAAAAGCUCGUAGUUGAACCUUGGGCUUGGUUGGCCGGUCCAUCUUUUUGGAUGCGUACUGGACCCAACCGAGCCUUUCCUUCUGGCUAGCCUUUUGGCGAACCAGGACUUUUACUUUGAAAAAAUUAGAGUGUUCAAAGCAGGCCUUUGCUCGAAUAUAUUAGCAUGGAAUAAUAGAAUAGGACGUUAUGGUUCUAUUUUGUUGGUUUCUAGGACCAUCG